UUUAGUUUUGCGUUAGGAUAGUUUUUUCUAUGUUAUAAAAACGAAAACCUUAUUUUGAAGUAUACUAAGUAUCUACCGUAGCGAUCACCGUAAUUCAUGGCACGCGAGGUCUGGACUGAAAACAAUCAGCGCGUGUUCAAAUAUGUUUGCUUGUCCCGCGCGAGCGACCGAGCCUUGCAGUCACCAAGCUGGCGACAUUCUCGGUAUUGUUCUCCGGUUCUUCUCAUCCCCUCACGUCAGCUUUCAUUGAUAGAUAUUAAGAAACAUAUACGUAUUUCCGCGAACCUGAAAGACUCUUGCAGGAUCAUAAUACUGUAAAAAUGCUCGCUCUUUCUUGAAUGUUAUUGUGUGUUAAAAUAUUAAAAGAG
Paramuricea clavata is the source of this 368-nucleotide non-coding RNA. The record is from the annotation of a GenBank genome assembly. Lineage: Eukaryota; Metazoa; Cnidaria; Anthozoa; Malacalcyonacea; Plexauridae.